Molecule: long non-coding RNA, 524 nt
Filed under: Betta splendens (Siamese fighting fish)
Lineage: Eukaryota; Metazoa; Chordata; Actinopteri; Anabantiformes; Osphronemidae
Description: lncRNA (ENSBSLG00000007297.1)
Source: RNAcentral
CCGUUCUUGACCUCGCGUAAACCUUAACAUGCGUUAACGCGGUUGUGCGUACAUAUAUUUGCAGACGUACGGGGCGACAGUUUAAUGUGUAUUGACAAGCGACACCCCCUCACCUCUCUAAAGUCACACACAAGCAUGCGCGACUCCAAACAGACUGCAGUAACACAACAUUAAGCGGUUUUCUCUUCUCUGUUAUCUGCAGCUUCCUUUUUGCCCUUUGGUUAAACAUUCUCUUGGCAUGCAUGAUCUCAUUUAACUUUGAUUUCCUUCUUUUUUUUUCCAGGACAGCAUUCUUGAUGGUUCCAAUUUCCAACCCAUUCCCCAAUUUUCAACUCCAAUGACAGGCAACACAUGCAGGAAUGGCUGUUUAGCUACAGAAGGGAGCUGGAGGAACCGACCCCCUGAUCUCCGUCUGAUCCUCCUGCGUGACGCAGCGUCUUCCUCCCUGCGCUCGGCGGAGACGUAACCCCCCGUGGCCUUUGACAUAUGAUUGGAGUGACAGUCAUCCGGGCCUCGGAGAGCCC